AACUGGAGAGUUUGAUCCUGGCUCAGAACGAACGCUGGCGGCAUGCCUAACACAUGCAAGUCGAACGUGAAAGUUUCCUUCGGGAAGCGAGUAAAGUGGCGCACGGGUGAGUAACACGUGGAUAAUCUGCCCAAUGAUCUGGGAUAACAUUUCGAAAGGGGUGCUAAUACCGGAUAAGCCCACGAUGUCUUAGGACAUUGAGGGAAAAGGUGGGGACCUUCGGGCCUACUGUCAUUGGAUGAGUCCGCGUCCCAUUAGCUAGUUGGUAGGGUAAUGGCCUACCAAGGCUUCGAUGGGUAGCUGGUCUGAGAGGAUGAUCAGCCACACUGGAACUGAGACACGGUCCAGACUCCUACGGGAGGCAGCAGUGGGGAAUUUU
RNAcentral lists this ribosomal RNA (379 nucleotides) under Desulfuromonas sp. Its description in RNAcentral is "bacterial SSU rRNA". It matches the Rfam family "Bacterial small subunit ribosomal RNA", at positions 1 to 365 of the family's 1533-position model. The record is from RNAcentral. Lineage: Bacteria; Pseudomonadati; Thermodesulfobacteriota; Desulfuromonadia; Desulfuromonadales; Desulfuromonadaceae.